RNAcentral lists this ribosomal RNA (2127 nucleotides) under marine sediment metagenome. RNAcentral's name for it is "bacterial LSU rRNA". It matches the Rfam family "Bacterial large subunit ribosomal RNA", at positions 831 to 2925 of the family's 2925-position model. The record is from RNAcentral.
AAUCGAAGUCGGGGAUGGCUGGGUGUACCGGAAAUGUAUUUAGGGACGGCGUUUAGAUAGUCUUGUGGAGGUAGGGCACUGGAUAGGUAAGGGGGCGUGAGCCUACCAAACUUAACCAAACCACGAAUGCCGCAAGAUGUUUCUGAGCAGUGAGACAGUGGGGGAUAAGCUCCAUUGUCGAGAGGGAAACAGCCCAGAUCGCAGGCUAAGGUCCCUAAGUGUGUGCUAAGUGUGAAACGAAGUGAGAUUGCUAAAACAGCUAGGAGGUUGGCUUAGAAGCAGCCAUCCUUUAAAGAGUGCGUAAUAGCUCACUAGUCGAGGAAUCUUGCGCGGAAAAUGUAACGGGGCUAAAGCACACCACCGAAGCCGCGGGCCCGCUUAGGCGGGCGGUAGGGGAGCGUUGUCAGGGCGUCGAAGCUAGAUCGUGAGGUCUAGUGGAGCGCUGAGAAGUGAGAAUGCCGGCAUGAGUAGCGACAAUCCUGGUGAGAAUCCAGGACACCGAAAGCAUAAGGUUUCCUACGCAAUGCUGAUCAGCGUAGGGUAAGUCGGGCCUAAGCCGUAGCGUAUAGCGAAGGCGAUGGACAGCAGGUCAAAAUUCCUGCACCGCAGAUUCAGCGUUAUAAAGCAAAGGGGGGACACGGGAAGAUAGGCGGAGCGCACCCAUCGGACAUGGUGCGUCCGGCCCUGAAGGCCAAGCUGGGAUAGGCAAAUCCGUUCCAGCGUGAUGAGCUGAGGGGGCUAGAAACUCUAGGGCUUAUGCCCGGGGGAAUUCCGUUGAUUCUAUGCCGUCGAGAAAAUCCUCGUUGCAAGUUGUUUCAGCGUCCGUACCGCAAACCGACACAGGUAUGUAGGGGUAAGUGUCCCCAGGUGAACGAGAGAACCCUCGUUAAGGAAUUCGACAAGUUGACCCCGUAACUUAGGGAUAAGGGGUGCCCGUGGGGUGAAGGCUGCUAGCCAGCCGGAUGCCUUAGCGGGCGACACUAAACAGGCUCAGGCGACUGUUUAUCAAAAACACAGGUCUCUGCUAAACCGAAAGGUGAUGUAUAGGGGCUGACACCUGCCCAGUGCCGGAAGGUUAAAGGGAUGGGUUCGUCCGCUUGCGGACAAAGCUCAGAACUGAAGCCCCGGUGAACGGCGGCCGUAACUAUAACGGUCCUAAGGUAGCGAAAUCCCUUGUCGGGUAAGUUCCGACCCGCACGAAUGGUGUAACGACCUGAGCGUUGUCUCAACGAGGGACUCGGUGAAAUUGCAAGACCCGUGAAGAUGCGGGUUACCCGUGACAGGACAAAAAGACCCCGUGGAGCUUUACUGUAGCUUGGCAUUGGACUGGGGUUACAAAUGUGUAGGAUAGGCGGGAGACUUUGAAGCAGGCACGCCAGUGUUUGUGGAGUCGACCUUGAAAUACCGCUCUUUUGUAUUCUUGGCCCUAACUCAACGAAAAUUGAGGACCCUGCCAGGUGGGCAGUUUGACUGGGGCGGUCGCCUCCUAAAAGGUAACGGAGGCGCCCAAAGGUUCCCUCAAGGUGGAUGGAAAUCACCUGAAGAGUGUAUUGGCAUAAGGGAGCUUGACUGUGAGACCUACAAGUCGAGCAGGGACGAAAGUCGGGCAAAGUGAUCCUACGGCACCGUGUGGAAGGGCCGUGGCUUAUCGGAUAAAAGCUACCCCGGGGAUAACAGGCUUAUCUCGCCCAAGAGUUCACAUCGACGGCGAGGUUUGGCACCUCGAUGUCGGCUCGUCCCAUCCUGGGGCUGAAGGCGGUCCCAAGGGUCCGGCUGUUCGCCGGUUAAAGGGGUACGUGAGUUGGGUUCAGAACGUCGUGAGACAGUUCGGUCUCUAUCCGCCGUGGGCGAAGGAGGCUUGAGGGAACCUUUCCCUAGUACGAGAGGACCGGGAAGGACAAACCUAUGGUGUUCCAGUUGUUCCGCCAGGAGCAUCGCUGGGUAGCUAUGUUUGGCAGCGAUAAGAGCUGAAGGCAUCUAAGCUCGAAGCAUCCCCCAAGAUGAGGCCUCCCUCCCCGAUUAAGUUCGGGGGUAAGACAGCAGCGAGACUAGCUGCUUGAUAGGUCGGAUGUGUAAGUAGGGCAACCUAUUCAGCAUACCGAUACUAACCAGUCGAGAGAUUUGACC